GAGGAAGUAGCUCAGUUGAUAGAGCAUUAGCCUUCCAAGCUGAGGGUCGCGGGUUUGAGCCCCGUCUUCCGCU
Molecule: transfer RNA, 73 nt
Filed under: Bacteroides thetaiotaomicron
Lineage: Bacteria; Pseudomonadati; Bacteroidota; Bacteroidia; Bacteroidales; Bacteroidaceae
Description: tRNA-Gly
Rfam family: tRNA
About the family: Transfer RNA (tRNA) molecules are approximately 80 nucleotides in length.
Source: RNAcentral